RNAcentral lists this ribosomal RNA (253 nucleotides) under uncultured bacterium. Its description in RNAcentral is "partial 16S ribosomal RNA". It matches the Rfam family "Bacterial small subunit ribosomal RNA", at positions 524 to 776 of the family's 1533-position model. The record is from RNAcentral.
UACGUAGGGUGCAAGCGUUGUCCGGAAUUAUUGGGCGUAAAGAGCUUGUAGGCGGUUUGUCGCGUCUGCUGUGAAAUUUCGGGGCUCAACCCCGAACUUGCGGUGGGUACGGGCAGACUAGAGUGUGGUAGGGGAGACUGGAAUUCCUGGUGUAGCGGUGAAAUGCGCAGAUAUCAGGAGGAACACCGAUGGCGAAGGCAGGUCUCUGAGCCACUACUGACGCUGAGAAGCGAAAGCAUGGGGAGCGAACAGG